CACCGCGCCCAGCCUGGUGAAAAUCUCUUAGUUCUUGGACAGCAGUAUUAGAAAAGCGUAAGAAAAUCUUCAAAACCUGGAGCUCUGCUGGUUGGACUUUUGUACUGAUAGCACCUUUACCGGAGGCUGCAUGUUUAAAACCCGAAGAAAACUUUGCUUUUCUGAACGAAUA
RNAcentral lists this long non-coding RNA (172 nucleotides) under Saimiri boliviensis boliviensis (Bolivian squirrel monkey). RNAcentral's name for it is "FAS antisense RNA 1 conserved region (ENSSBOG00000009914.1)". It matches the Rfam family "FAS antisense RNA 1 conserved region". The record is from RNAcentral. Lineage: Eukaryota; Metazoa; Chordata; Mammalia; Primates; Cebidae.